Long non-coding RNA from Aedes aegypti (yellow fever mosquito), 339 nucleotides. RefSeq lists it as uncharacterized. The transcript is spliced from 2 exons. The record is from RefSeq and is a predicted model, not a curated record. NCBI's taxonomy places the organism in Eukaryota, Metazoa, Arthropoda, Insecta, Diptera, Culicidae.
UCGUGUAUGCUGUUAUAUUUUGACAUGUGCAUAUUAUUGGGUAAGCAUAGUUUAUUUAUCAACAUUUAAUUUUACAAUCGGUUCCAGAAAUACUGACCUUCACGCUACUCCAUUAUAUUUCAGAUUCCCUUUGUUUAAGUUUCCCAGGAAGAAGCUUCGUUUAUCUGUGUUUCCUGAAGGAGAACCCUGAGAUAAUGUUUUCCGGAGAAUUGAACGUCCCCCCCCCCCUCGGGAUCACGCGUAUGGGCAAGCGGAAAACAUUAAAAGCAGCUUAUAAAAAUAUUGAUUGGAUAAUUAUUGCAUCUGUAUGUAGUAGUAUAAAUAAAUAAAUUUAAGCCU